This 726-nucleotide long non-coding RNA is filed under the name Mus spicilegus (steppe mouse). RNAcentral describes it as "lncRNA (ENSMSIG00000026654.1)". The record is from RNAcentral. Lineage: Eukaryota; Metazoa; Chordata; Mammalia; Rodentia; Muridae.
GUGUUUUCUUUCCUUUUAAUUACAGGUGGAACCCAAAGGAUUUAAAUUUUCUUCAUUCUUUAGAAAAUUUUAUAGGAAGGACUCAAGUCCCCCCCAGGCUCCAGAGAAACCUUCAGCCCUUAAAGGUGCAUCCAAAGAAACCCAACCAACUAUUAAAACAGGAAGUCAGAGUACACCUGAAAUUAAAGAAAUAUUUUGUAGAAAAGAAGAGUUUGAAUAUCAUGAUGAGGGGUCCUGGGAAGAAUACCAAAGCUAUUUCCCACAUGGUAUCCAUGUUCCAGAAUCCAGAGAAUCCGUAAGAAUGCCUUUGUUCAUCUUCUAUAGAAAUGCAGGUCUAAUGGUAUUCCAAUUGUGUUGCUUUUUGAAAAUUGGUUUUCUCUGUGGAAUUCAGAGUAUUGUUUGUUUAUUUGUCUGUUUUACCAGUGGAUCUCCAGCUCGCUGGUGUGAUGGCCAUCACUAUAUUCAUUAAAAUUGAACCACAGAGGCAGUUCCCUCAAAAAUGACUGUUCCUGAUCUAUUAAGGAUUGUGUGCCUGCAAUAUAAAUGGGCUGGAAGGUUCCCUGUUGGAAAGACUCUUUCUAUCUUUACCUGUGUCAUUUGCAGCACCAUACGAUAUAUGUCUAUUGUUCUCUAAAUCAUCCAGAGAAAGCCAGGCCAUUGUGACAUAUAUAAUAUGAGCCAAUCCUGACAAUACUUUCCUUUUUAUGAUUGCAGAUUGCUUCCACC